GGGUUGCGGACAGUGUCUGGUGGGUAGUUUGACUGGGGCGGUCUCCUCCCAAAGAGUAACGGAGGAGCACGAAGGUUAGCUAAUCCUGGUCGGACAUCAGGAGGUUAGUGCAAUGGCAUAAGCUAGCUUGACUGCGAGCGUGACGGCGCGAGCAGGUGCGAAAGCAGGUCAUAGUGAUCCGGUGGUUCUGAAUGGAAGGGCCAUCGCUCAACGGAUAAAAGGUACUCCGGGGAUAACAGGCUGAUACCGCCCAAGAGUUCAUAUCGACGGCGGUGUUUGGCACCUCGAUGUCGGCUCAUCACAUCCUGGGGCUGAAGUAGGUCCCAAGGGUAUGGCUGUUCGCCAUUUAAAGUGGUACGCGAGCUGGGUUUAGAACGUCGUGAGACAGUUCGGUCCCUAUCUGCCGUGGGCGCUGGAGAAUUGAGGGGGGCUGCUCCUAGUACGAGAGGACCGGAGUGGACGCAUCACUGGUGUUCGGGUUGUCAUGCCAAUGGCAUUGCCCGGUAGCUAAAUGCGGAAGAGAUAAGUGCUGAAAGCAUCUAAGCACGAAACUUGCCCCGAGAUGAGUUCUCCCUGAGACUUUAAGUCUCCUGAAGGAACGUUGAAGACGACGACGUUGAUAGGCCGGGUGUGUAAGCGCAGCGAUGCGUUGAGCUAACCGGUACUAAUGAACCGUGAGGCUUAACCUUACAACGCCGAAGGUGUUU
Molecule: ribosomal RNA, 707 nt
Filed under: Klebsiella sp. H-Nf2
Lineage: Bacteria; Pseudomonadati; Pseudomonadota; Gammaproteobacteria; Enterobacterales; Enterobacteriaceae
Description: bacterial LSU rRNA
Rfam family: Bacterial large subunit ribosomal RNA
Source: RNAcentral